This 253-nucleotide ribosomal RNA is filed under the name uncultured bacterium. RNAcentral describes it as "partial 16S ribosomal RNA". It matches the Rfam family "Bacterial small subunit ribosomal RNA", at positions 524 to 776 of the family's 1533-position model. The record is from RNAcentral.
UACGGAGGGUGCGAGCGUUGUCCGGAAUCACUGGGCGUAAAGGGCGCGUAGGCGGCUCAUGAAGGCUGUGGUGAAAGUCCGGGGCUCAACCUCGGAUCGGCCGUGGCGACUCGUGGGCUGGAGCACUGUAGAGGCGGGUGGAAUUCCGGGUGUAGCGGUGGAAUGCGUAGAGAUCCGGAAGAACACCAGUGGCGAAGGCAGUGUCCUGGGGAGUACCUGACGCUCAGGUGCGAAAGCCAGGGGAGCGAACGGG